This 253-nucleotide ribosomal RNA is filed under the name uncultured bacterium. Its description in RNAcentral is "partial 16S ribosomal RNA". It matches the Rfam family "Bacterial small subunit ribosomal RNA", at positions 524 to 776 of the family's 1533-position model. The record is from RNAcentral.
UACGUAGGUGACCAGCGUUGUCCGGAUUUACUGGGCGUAAAGAGCGCGCAGGCGGUCGUUCAAGUCGCGUGUGAAAGCCCCCGGCUCAACUGGGGAGGGUCACGCGAUACUGAUCGACUCGAAGGCAGGAGAGGGAAGUGGAAUUCCCGGUGUAGUGGUGAAAUGCGUAGAUAUCGGGAGGAACACCAGUGGCGAAGGCGGUGCUCUGGGCCUGUACUGACGCUGAGGAACGAAAGCGUGGGGAGCGAACAGG